Non-coding RNA from Hordeum vulgare subsp. vulgare (domesticated barley), 136 nucleotides. Lineage: Eukaryota; Viridiplantae; Streptophyta; Magnoliopsida; Poales; Poaceae. The record is from Rfam.
CAACUACUCCCUCCGUUCCAAAAUUUUUGUCUUAGGUUUGUCUAGAAAUGUAUGUAUCUACAUACUAAAAUGUGACUAGAUACAUUCAUAUAUAGACAAAUCUAAGAUAAUAAUUUUGGGACGGGGGGAGUACAAG